CUUCCCUCCCAUUCACCCCCUUUCUCCCCUCUCUCUGCCCUAGAAAACUCUCCCCAAACGUCAGUCCCUCUAACAUCUUGCUUCUGCAAACAUUUUGUCAGCUCCAGAGGUUUCAGCUGCGAAGGUGCCUUUGUUUCUGCUCUGCCCAGGCACAUCCCUCCCCUGGGGCUAUGAACUGGAUCUUGGUGACAGCUUUAUUACACCGAGGAUAGGAAAUUUCAGUGGACACGAGCUCUCCCGAGGAAAGGUCUCACAGUUGUCCACUGAAAACCAAGACCCAGCAGGGAGGAUGGUCACCAGUGAAAGAAAGACAGAGGAGAAU
Molecule: long non-coding RNA, 322 nt
Filed under: Rhinopithecus bieti (black snub-nosed monkey)
Lineage: Eukaryota; Metazoa; Chordata; Mammalia; Primates; Cercopithecidae
Description: lncRNA (ENSRBIG00000045844.1)
Source: RNAcentral